AGCUUGCUCCUGAAUUCAGCGGCGGACGGGUGAGUAAUGCCUAGGAAUCUGCCUGGUAGUGGGGGACAACGUUUCGAAAGGAACGCUAAUACCGCAUACGUCCUACGGGAGAAAGCAGGGGACCUUCGGGCCUUGCGCUAUCAGAUGAGCCUAGGUCGGAUUAGCUAGUUGGUGAGGUAAUGGCUCACCAAGGCGACGAUCCGUAACUGGUCUGAGAGGAUGAUCAGUCACACUGGAACUGAGACACGGUCCAGACUCCUACGGGAGGCAGCAGUGGGGAAUAUUGGACAAUGGGCGAAAGCCUGAUCCAGCCAUGCCGCGUGUGUGAAGAAGGUCUUCGGAUUGUAAAGCACUUUAAGUUGGGAGGAAGGGCAGUAAAUUAAUACUUUGCUGUUUUGACGUUACCGACAGAAUAAGCACCGGCUAACUCUGUGCCAGCAGCCGCGGUAAUACAGAGGGUGCAAGCGUUAAUCGGAAUUACUGGGCGUAAAGCGCGCGUAGGUGGUUUGUUAAGUUGGAUGUGAAAUCCCCGGGCUCAACCUGGGGACUGCAUUCAAAACUGACAAGCUAGAGUAUGGUAGAGGGUGGUGGAAUUUCCUGUGUAGCGGUGAAAUGCGUA
This 619-nucleotide ribosomal RNA is filed under the name Pseudomonas sp. BGCSL1-2. RNAcentral describes it as "bacterial SSU rRNA". It matches the Rfam family "Bacterial small subunit ribosomal RNA", at positions 77 to 692 of the family's 1533-position model. The record is from RNAcentral. Lineage: Bacteria; Pseudomonadati; Pseudomonadota; Gammaproteobacteria; Pseudomonadales; Pseudomonadaceae.